Molecule: ribosomal RNA, 497 nt
Filed under: uncultured bacterium
Lineage: Bacteria
Description: partial 16S ribosomal RNA
Rfam family: Bacterial small subunit ribosomal RNA
Source: RNAcentral
GAUGAACGCUGGCGGCGUGCCUAAUACAUGCAAGUCGAGCGAACAGACGAGGAGCUUGCUCCUCUGACGUGAGCGGCGGACGGGUGAGUAACACGUGGAUAACCUACCUAUCAGACUGGGAUAACUUCGGGAAACCGGAGCUAAUACCGGAUAAUAUAUUGCACCGCAUGGUUCAAUAGUGAAAGACGGUUUUGCUGUCACUUAUAGAUGGAUCCGCGCCGCAUUAGCUAGUUGGUAAGGUAACGGCUUACCAAGGCAACGAUGCGUAGCCGACCUGAGAGGGUGAUCGGCCACACUGGAACUGAGACACGGUCCAGACUCCUACGGGAGGCAGCAGUAGGGAAUCUUCCGCAAUGGGCGAAAGCCUGACGGAGCAACGCCGCGUGAGUGAUGAAGGUCUUCGGAUCGUAAAACUCUGUUAUUAGGGAAGAACAAAUGUGUAAGUAACUAUGCACGUCUUGACGGUACCUAAUCAGAAAGCCACGGCUAACUACGUG